UUCGAAAUAGUUUAUUUAAAAUUUCUCACUUUCACUGAGGAGAAGGAUUCCCCUUUCGAAA
RNAcentral lists this transfer RNA (61 nucleotides) under Quadraceps punctatus. RNAcentral's name for it is "tRNA-Glu". The record is from RNAcentral. Lineage: Eukaryota; Metazoa; Arthropoda; Insecta; Psocodea; Philopteridae.